AGUGGUGUUGUUAAUGAAAGAAGUAAAGAAAAGUGUUGUUCUUGAGUGGUGUUGUUAAUGAAGGAAGUAAAGAAAAGUGUUGUUCUUGAUUGGUGUUGUUAAUAGAGGAGAGUGAAAAAAAUUAAAAGAAAGUGUUGUUAAUGGAGGAAAGCGGAAAAAAAUUGAAGGAAAGUGGUGUUCUUCGAUGGUGUUGUUAAUGGAGGAAAGUGAAAAAAAAUUAAGGUUGUUAAUGGAGGUUUGAGGGUUGUUGUUGAAGAUGAUUUGAAGAAAAAAGAAGA
Molecule: long non-coding RNA, 278 nt
Filed under: Capsicum annuum
Lineage: Eukaryota; Viridiplantae; Streptophyta; Magnoliopsida; Solanales; Solanaceae
Description: long non-coding RNA (CANN_LNC005749)
Source: RNAcentral